UAUACUAACUAUUCGCCAGAAUACUACAAGCAAAACGCUUGAAACUCAAAGGACUUGGUGGUGUCCCAUAUCACCCUAGAGGAGCCUGUCCUAUAAUCGAUAAUCCACGUUAAACCUUACCAUCUUUGGUCACUCCAGCCUAUAUACCGCCGUCGCAAGCUUACCCUAUGAAGGCUCUAUAGUAAGCAAAACUGCUUAACACAAAAACGUCAGGUCAAGGUGUAGCUUAUAAGACGGAAGAGAUGGGCUACAUUUUCUAAUUUAGAAAAAACGAACAAUACAAUGAAAUCUGUAUUAGAAGGAGGAUUUAGUAGUAAAAUAAAAAGAAAAAUAAUUUUAAACUAGCCCUGGGACGCGCACACACCGCCCGUCACCCUCAUCAAUAAUAUAAACAACUAACAUAUACCCUAUAUCCAUAAUAGAUGAGGCAAGUCGUAACAUGGUAAGCGUACUGGAAAGUGCGCUUGGAUUAACAAAAAGUAGCUUAAAUCAAAGCAUUCAGCUUACAAUUGAAAAAUGUUAUUUACCAAACCUUUUUGAGCCCCAACCAAUAAGCCCAUUCAAACCACCAACUAAACAAACAAAAUAAAACAAACCAUUUGACAAGAAUAGUAUCUGAGAGAGAAC
Molecule: ribosomal RNA, 627 nt
Filed under: Zonosaurus madagascariensis
Lineage: Eukaryota; Metazoa; Chordata; Lepidosauria; Squamata; Gerrhosauridae
Description: partial 12S ribosomal RNA
Rfam family: Bacterial small subunit ribosomal RNA (bases 1-480)
Source: RNAcentral